GAUGAACGCUAGCGGCAGGCUUAACACAUGCAAGUCGAGGGGCAGCACGUCUUCGGAUGGUGGCGACCGGCGCACGGGUGCGUAACGCGUAUAGAACCUACCUUUUACAGGGGAAUAGCCCAGAGAAAUUUGGAUUAAUGCCCCAUAGUAUUAUAGUAUGGCAUCAUAUUAUAAUUAAACAUUUAUGGGUAAAAGAUGGCUAUGCGUUCUAUUAGCUAGUAGGUAAGGUAACGGCUUACCUAGGCAACGAUAGAUAGGGGUCCUGAGAGGGAGAUCCCCCACACUGGUACUGAGACACGGACCAGACUCCUACGGGAGGCAGCAGUGAGGAAUAUUGGACAAUGGAGGUAACUCUGAUCCAGCCAUGCCGCGUGCAGGAAGACGGUCCUAUGGAUUGUAAACUGCUUUUAUACAGGAAGAAACACUCGGACGUGUCCGAGCUUGACGGUACUGUAUGAAUAAGCACCGGCUAACUCCGUGCCAGCAGCCGCGGUAAA
RNAcentral lists this ribosomal RNA (497 nucleotides) under uncultured bacterium. RNAcentral's name for it is "bacterial SSU rRNA". It matches the Rfam family "Bacterial small subunit ribosomal RNA", at positions 28 to 524 of the family's 1533-position model. The record is from RNAcentral.